RNAcentral lists this transfer RNA (91 nucleotides) under Planosporangium flavigriseum. RNAcentral describes it as "tRNA-Sec". The record is from RNAcentral. Lineage: Bacteria; Bacillati; Actinomycetota; Actinomycetes; Micromonosporales; Micromonosporaceae.
GCUCUGGCUGGCCGGGCUGGGGAUGGCGGUCUUCAACAUCGCCGGCGCCCGCCUCGGCGCGGCGACCGCGUUGCGGCGCGGGUCGGGGUUC